GGUUUGCUUAUCAACCUCUAUGGGACAGUUCUAUUGACUGACAGAAGGCCGGAGUUAGGUAAAUCUUCAAUUUGAACUUUUGUAAAGUUGUUGAUAAGGAUUGAUCUAGCUGAUAAAAAUGGAAGCAAGGACCGCAAAGGUAUUGGAUAGAAAUGGCAGAAUUGUGAUUGGCAUGAAGAGGAAGAGAGCAGCACGGCAUGCGUCACAUUUUGCUGGAGCUUCCAACACAUUGUUACCACAGUGGUCUACUUUGUAUUUUUCGACGCAUAAGCUUGGUAAGCGAAGAAAAUUAGCUAAAUACAAAAGCAAGCUCAAUACUGGUGGGAACUCUAUUAGAAAAUCUUUGAUCCAAUAUUAUUCAAAUUUUAUGAAAACAAAAAUGGCACAACGUAUAUUGUUUUUCGAGGAUGGUCAAUGGAGUGAUUUUCCUCAAAUUCUUCUUGGCAUGAUAAAGAAAGAUUUUGAAGAAAAGAAGGCAGCAAUUGAGGUUGAGUUAAAUGGUCAACAAUUUGUUCUAGAUUUCUUGCAUAUGUUGCGACUAGACUUGAANNNNNN
This 555-nucleotide long non-coding RNA is filed under the name Carica papaya (papaya). Its description in RNAcentral is "long non-coding RNA (CPAP_LNC004462)". Lineage: Eukaryota; Viridiplantae; Streptophyta; Magnoliopsida; Brassicales; Caricaceae. The record is from RNAcentral.